RNAcentral lists this ribosomal RNA (498 nucleotides) under uncultured bacterium. RNAcentral describes it as "partial 16S ribosomal RNA". It matches the Rfam family "Bacterial small subunit ribosomal RNA", at positions 28 to 507 of the family's 1533-position model. The record is from RNAcentral.
GACGAACGCUGGCGGCGUGCCUAAUACAUGCAAGUAGAACGCUGAAGAGAGGAGCUUGCUCUUCUUGGAUGAGUUGCGAACGGGUGAGUAACGCGUAGGUAACCUGCCUUGUAGCGGGGGAUAACUAUUGGAAACGAUAGCUAAUACCGCAUAACAAUGGAUGACACAUGUCAUUUAUUUGAAAGGGGCAAUUGCUCCACUACAAGAUGGACCUGCGUUUGUAUUAGCUAGUAGGUGAGGUAAUGGCUCACCUAGGCGACGAUACAUAGCCGACCUGAGAGGGUGAUCGGCCACACUGGGACUGAGACACGGCCCAGACUCCUACGGGAGGCAGCAGUAGGGAAUCUUCGGCAAUGGGGGCAACCCUGACCGAGCAACGCCGCGUGAGUGAAGAAGGUUUUCGGAUCGUAAAGCUCUGUUGUAAGUCAAGAACGGGUGUGAGAGUGGAAAGUUCACACUGUGACGGUAGCUUACCAGAAAGGGACGGCUAACUACGUG